Molecule: ribosomal RNA, 511 nt
Filed under: uncultured bacterium
Lineage: Bacteria
Description: bacterial SSU rRNA
Rfam family: Bacterial small subunit ribosomal RNA
Source: RNAcentral
GACGAACGCUGGCGGCGUGCCUAAUACAUGCAAGUUGAGCGCUGAAGGUUGGUACUUGUACCGACUGGAUGAGCAGCGAACGGGUGAGUAACGCGUGGGAAUCUGCCUUUGAGCGGGGGACAACAUUUGGAAACGAAUGCUAAUACCGCAUAAAAACUUUAAACACAAGUUUUAAGUUUGAAAGAUGCAAUUGCAUCACUCAAAGAUGAUCCCGCGUUGUAUUAGCUAGUUGGUGAGGUAAAAGGCUCACCAAGGCGAUGAUACAUAGCCGACCUGAGAGGGUGAUCGGCCACAUUGGGACUGAGACACGGCCCAAACUCCUACGGGAGGCAGCAGUAGGGAAUCUUCGGCAAUGGAACGAAAGUCUGACCGAGCAACGCCGCGUGAGUGAAGAAGGUUUCGGAUCGUAAAACUCUGUUGGUAGAGAAGAACGUUGGUGAGAGUGGAAAGCUCAUCAAGUGACGGUAACUACCCAGAAAGGGACGGACUAACUACGUGCCAGCAGCCGCGC